AAGGUGGCUGGACAGGGUGAGUAACGCGUAAGAGAACUUGCCUUACAGGACUGGGACCAACAAAUUUGAGAGAACGAAUGCUAAUACCGGCAUAUUAUGAACUGCAGUCAGCAAUGAAUUUGGUCUCAUGAAGGCUAUAUGCGCGUGUGAGAGAGCUUUGCGGUCCCAUUAGUUAGUUCGGUGACGGUAAUCGGUCACCAAGGACGAUGGAUGGGUAGCCGGCCUGAGAGGGUGAUACGGCCACCAAGGGGACUUGAAACACGGCCCUUACUCCUACGGGAGGCAGCAGUGGGGAAUAUUGGACAAUGGACCAGAAUGUCUGAUCCAGGAAUUCUGUGUGCACGAUGAAGUUCCCGGAAUGUAAAGUGCUUUCAGUUGGGAAGAAGUCAGUGACGGUACCAACAGAAGAAUUCGACGGCUAUGUACGUGCCAGCAGCCGCGGUAAUACGUAUGUCGCAAGCGUAUCCGGAUUUAUUGGGCGUAAAGCGCGUCUAGGCGGUUUAGUAAGUCUGAUGUGCAAAAUGCGGGGCUCAACCCCGUAUUGCGUUGGAAACUGCUCAAACUGAGACGUACUGCCCCCAGGUAGGCAGGUACACUUACAAGUGUAGAGGUAGAGAAUUCGUAGAUAUUUGUAGGAAUGCCGAUGGGGAAGCCAGUCCUGACUGGAUCAGAUACUGAU
RNAcentral lists this ribosomal RNA (679 nucleotides) under uncultured Fusobacteriota bacterium. Its description in RNAcentral is "bacterial SSU rRNA". It matches the Rfam family "Bacterial small subunit ribosomal RNA", at positions 92 to 744 of the family's 1533-position model. The record is from RNAcentral. Lineage: Bacteria; Fusobacteriati; Fusobacteriota.